GCGUUCUUUCAUGAAACUGGGAAAAGGCAACAUAAAGUGGCAACUGCGAGACUGAGAAUGAAACGCGAGGCAGUGGGUUGUGUUGCUGCAGUUAUUUGGGGCUGGAAGAAAAUCUGGAAAGAGAAAGGAUCUCACGACUUUUUAAAGGGAACACUGCACACUUCAAAUUGCUGAAGCACAGGAGCAUGGGAAGUAUGUUGCAGCUGGUCUGGGCUGUGGAGGCUGUCUGUGAUACUUGUGCAGAGAAUGACUUGAAAACAAGAAUUGAAGCGCAGCUGGGGAGGAGCUGACACACUCAGAAGGGAAAAGUUAUCCUUGUACAUCUGAGAUAGGAGUCAGAGCAGCCCAAGGAGACGCUCAUGCUUUGCUUUCCUUGCCCAGGCAAAGAACAGCCUCUUUUCUACAAACUCAAUCCAGAUUUUUAGACAUCAGAAGAAUCACUCUGGUAUUGGAGCCUGAUCAAGCACAAAAAACAUCCUCAGCCUUCAGAAAAAUACCAGAUGGCUGCAGAUGCCAGCUCCUUCGGCCAGGCAGUGUUUUGAGAGAAAAGGCCAGCUUGUUGUGGAGUGCUGCAUCCCAGAUACAACUCUGCGGAGCAGCAAAGAGCCACAGAGAAAUCCCUGGAGGAGGAGGAGCAUCCAAGCCAAUGUAUUCCCGUAACAUCAGAUUUUCAAGGCUACACAUACGCUCAUAUCCAAAUAUGCUCUCUUUCUCCAGAGGGAAGAGGGGACCUACAGAAGUGACUCUGGCUGGAAAUGCUCUUAUGAGUUUCUGAGCAGUUGUGUGCACUUGAAGCUCCAGUCAGAGUUGCCAAAUCAUUGGAAACAAGUUACAAAAACAUGCCUGGCAAUGUAAGAGGGAAUAAUUUGGUCUCAUAGUGAACUGGUCUUUGGAAUAUCAACUGUGAGACUUUAAGCUGGUUGGUUCUCAGUCACCUGCUCUUUGAGGAGGUCAUCAUGGUGGUGUUGCUGCACAAGAUAAUAUUCUGUUUGCUCUACAGAAGUGGGUGCAAAGAACGAACACCUUUCCCAUAAAUAGCACAGUGAAAGGAUUUAUGCACCAUUUAAGACUUAAAACUGAGUGGGAUGCACACACCUUGUACAACUUUCACAACAGGAGAAAUGUCACUCUUUGUGUGGUGACUCCACUUCCAAAGACCACUGACUGCAAGAAAAACAGCCCAGCAGCCAAUAACCAGCAGGCUUUACUUGGUUCUCCAACAGCUCUUUUUUCCCACCAGCUCCUGGACAGGUAACAUGGUGUCAGGCCAUGUUUUCUUGAUGAUCAAGGAGGGAUUCACAGGGUUCACAGUGACUCAAUGACUUUAGCACCACUUUAGUGCCACGAAGCAGUGGGAGUGCCUGAGCCAGCCAGAGUAAUGUGAUACACACACCAAAGCCUGGUCAGCCACAUGGCCUUGUAAAAACCUGAGGUGCAAUUAGUUUCUAUUAAAAAAAAAAAAAAAAAAAAGAAGAAGUCUUUUCUUUCAUCUUAGGAGUCCUGAAAUGGCUGUGAUACAAUUAAAACCAACCGAAAAAAGAAUGACAAUGAGGAGUGGUGAGAUGCUCAUUUCUGGGGAGCGUGGGCUGGUAAUGUCCGUCUGGAAAGACCUCAGAGAGAGUGGUCACUUUUGAUUACUACAUAAUGUGAGUAAUUCUCUGAAAAGACCCGUCCUUCCCUCCUGAAUUGUAGCGAAGGGGGGAAAAACAACACACUCCAAAAACGGAAAGCUGCACAGCCCUUGGAUGUCAGGAGCCGCCCAAGAAUUCUGUGCAGGGGCCACCACACAGAAGCUGCAAGGAGAGAGCCACUGGCCCUGCCCUCUGCUCUGGGGUGACAGCUCCAGUUCUGGAGCCAAACUUGGACCAUAACACACCUACUGAAGUGGCCACCCAUGGCUCUGGUAGGUGGGGUGACACUAACAGCACAUGGAACAUCUCGUCACCCAGAAGCCACGCUCUCCAGUUCUUCAACCCAUGUUUGCACCUUGAUGCAUGAGGUGCAGGUGGCUCCUUUGGAGGCUCUGCCUUCUCUGAGAAGUUUGUCCUCAGUGUCGUUCCUGGCCAGCCCGUGGCAUGAACACAAACUGUGGAAGCAGAACAGUACAUCCCUGGUGCCAAAAAUGGGGCUGUGCUUCAGUCCCAGGGCAGCUGCUGUUCUAAAAAUCCAUGUGUGCCCAAAAGUUGAGAGGAACACCUGGGACAGAUCCCUGGUGUGGUGAGUACCUUGGGCUUUGCCCAUGGUACUGGGGGAAAUGGAGAAACAGUGGUAUUUGAGAAGGAAAGAGCCUGUUUUUUCCCAGGUGUACCCCCUGGCCGUACGACAGGCCCAGCAUCAGUCCUGAGGGUUUCACAGCUGGCACCUGGACAGCAACAGGAAGGUCCAAGAGAUACAUCACACCCCUAUUUCUUUAUAUAGACAUAUAUGGGUACAUUUAAACAGAUGAUUUUUUUCCUUCAUGCUAAUCCUCCACAAAACCAGUUUGGUUUCCAUUACUAUAUAUAGCACUGGGAAUCUUGGUCUAUUUUUUGUCCCUUUGCAUCUGAUUAUUUUCAGUAGAGCUCAAAGUUUUGAUGAUAUACAGAUUUUAACUGGAACAUGACAUCUACUCACACAAACUUCCAUUAGCAAUAAACCCACAAUGGCCACUUAUAACGUAGAAGAAUUUUAUUCAUACCAUAAUCCUGUCCCAUCAUCCACUGCAAAUAUUACAAUUGUCUUCAAAAUGUCACUGAAUAUAAUUUUGUUCCACUAAAAGCACAGGAAUCCUGGUGUUAGACAGUUACAUUUCUCUUGAGAUUGCUUAUAA
Long non-coding RNA from Motacilla alba alba, 2809 nucleotides. RefSeq lists it as uncharacterized. NCBI's taxonomy places the organism in Eukaryota, Metazoa, Chordata, Aves, Passeriformes, Motacillidae. The record is from RefSeq and is a predicted model, not a curated record. The transcript is spliced from 2 exons.